RNAcentral lists this ribosomal RNA (787 nucleotides) under uncultured bacterium. Its description in RNAcentral is "bacterial SSU rRNA". It matches the Rfam family "Bacterial small subunit ribosomal RNA", at positions 40 to 836 of the family's 1533-position model. The record is from RNAcentral.
CGGGGCGCCUUAUGCAUGCAGUCGAGCGAAGCUUUUCAGUAGUUUACUACAGAAAAUGACUGAGCGGCGAACGGGUGAGUAACGCGUGAGCAAUCUACCUUAGUUACAGGGAUAGCCCGAGGAAACUCGGAUUAAUACCUGAUAUUCUUUAUUUCUCGCAUGAGAAUAAAAGGAAAGGUCAGCCGAACUAAGAUGAGCUCGCGUUCUAUCAGCUAGUUGGUGAGGUAAAAGCUUACCAAGGCUACGACGGAUAGCUGGUCUGAGAGGACGAUCAGCCACACUGGGACUGAGACACGGCCCAGACUCCUACGGGAGGCUGCAGCAGGGAAUAUUGUGCAAUGAACGAAAGUUUGACACAGCGACACCGCGUGUGGGAUGACGGAUCUAGGUUUGUAAACCACUUUCAGGAGGGAAGAAAAUGACGGUACCUCCACAAGAAGCCCCGGCCAACUACGUGCCAGCAGCCGCGGUAAUACGUAGGGGGCGAGCGUUGUCCGGAUUUAUUGGGCGUAAAGAGCUCGUAGGCGGUUCAACAAGUCGGUCGUGAAGGUUCAGGGCUCAACCCUGAAAUGUCGAUCGAUACUGUUGUGACUAGGAUACGGUAGAGGUGAGUGGAAUUCCGAGUGUAGCGGUGAAAUGCGUAGAUAUUCGGAGGAACACCAAUUGCGAAGGCAGCUCACUGGACCGCUAUCGACGCUGAGGAGCGAAAGCUAGGGGAGCAAACAGGAUUAGAUACCCUGGUAGUCCUAGCUGUAAACGAUGGAUACUAGACGUAGGAACUGGAUUG